GACGAACCGUGCAAACGUUAUUCGGAAUCACUGGGCUUAAAGGGCGCGUAGGCGGACAGGUAAGUCAGGGGUGAAAGCCCACGGCUCAACCGUGGAAGGGCCUUUGAUACUGCCUGUCUUGAGGGAGGUAGGGGCGUGCGGAACUUCCGGUGGAGCGGUGAAAUGCGUAGAUAUCGGAAGGAACACCGGUGGCGAAAGCGGCGCGCUGGAUCUCUACUGACGCUGAGGCGCGAAAGCCAGGGGAGCAAACGGGAUUAGAUACCCCGGUAGUCCUGGCCCUAAACGAUGGGCACUAGGUAGUGGACUUACAUGGGUUCACUGCCGAAGCAAAAGUGUUAAGUGCCCCGCCUGGGGAGUAUGGUCGCAAGGCUGAA
RNAcentral lists this ribosomal RNA (374 nucleotides) under uncultured bacterium. RNAcentral's name for it is "bacterial SSU rRNA". It matches the Rfam family "Bacterial small subunit ribosomal RNA", at positions 524 to 898 of the family's 1533-position model. The record is from RNAcentral.